GCCAGAUGCCGUCUCAGGGGUCCCACCUGCCUGUGGCUUGUCUCUGGGGCUCGGCUCUGUGACCACUUGGUGGACAGCAGGAACCCAGAUGCUGGCUCAGGUCUCCUGCCAUCCCCGACUGAGGGUCCAGGCAGCAGAGGAGGGGAGCUCUGAGCCCUGCAGUGGAUGGGCUGGUCAGCCCUUCUGCAGACUCCUUCAGAGGGUGGCUGCUGAGCACCCCCGUGGACCAUGUCGGGCUCCCUCCAGGACUCAGGCUGGGGACAGGCUGUGGAGCCCGGGUGAAUGGCCCUCCUCACCACGGAGCUUUACUCCCCCAGCUUCUAGCCUAACCCAGUUCUGCUGGGAGGCAGGCUCCCACAGGGUGCCAAGGACACGGGGAGACAUGGUGUGCAGCUACGGCACAGAGCCCCUCCCCUAGAAGAUGCUUCAGGACUUCAUGGGAAGCAUUACGAUGCCAGUGCUCGGUGCUGGGGUGAGACAGGGACAGCUGCCUGCAAAUGACCACACCUCCCUGAGCCUGGCUCUCGGGCGCAGCCUUCGGCCCUUUCCUGGGACUCUGCUGACAGCAAGGGCGGUGGUGGUGCCGUGUCCCCUGGCAGAGCGCAGGACAUGGUGAAGGAGAAGGAAAGGGAGCCCGUGUUCCACAGCACAUUGAGGACAGAGUUCUAGAACGUCACGGUUGCAGAGGCGGCGGGAACAAGCGGGGACAGCAGCGCCUGCAUCCCACCAGAAAAGAUGUGUCCUGUCCCCAGCACUGUCCCUCGACAGCCCACCUGCUGUGAGUGCCAGGCCAGAUUCGGGGGCUUCCUGCCGGUGCCCAGGGUCCAGGCGGCAUUGCCUUACUGGGUCCCUUUGUCCUUGAGACCCCGAAAGCAGAUCCAAAAGAUGGUCCGGUUUUAUAUCCCCAAAACCUCCGAGGCAUGCCCCUGCUUAUGCCACCGCUUUGGGGGCCGGCUCCCGAUGCCUAGGGAUCAGGCCGUGAUGCCCUACUGGGUGCCCCAGAUCCUGAGGCCUCACAAGAAGGUGUUGAAAAGGCCGCGGAGCUGUAAAGGCAUCCAAGUUUUUGUAAUGUGCGUCGUCUUUACUCCGGCAAGCCCUUGUCAGGGUGACGUCUGGGAGACACUCCGACAUGCAUGUCUCUGCAGCAGUGGUGUCCUUGGCAAGGUGUCUGAAGCAGCUGAAGCGUGUCUCGGGAGGAUGGACGUACGUGGGUGUGUGUACGAAAUGUGGCACCUGCCUUGGAGAGCUCGCAGCCCUCAGGGACGACGGGAGGGAGCCCCGGACACACUGCGGCGAGGAGAAAUAAGUUGCUGCCGGCUGCGGAGUUGGCCCCCAUUCCCGUGGCCCCAAAAAGCUGAAGCCCCGUGUGGAUGUGGAUGCGGGCUGUGGAACGCCCCCUGGACUUGCACUCCUGGUACAACCGCUGGCGGAUCUGCUGUGACGGGCGCCUCCUCCUCAAGUGGCAACAGCUCCAGGCCAUUUACCAGCACGAGCCGCUGGCCCCAGAGAGGGGAGUGAGCCCCCCGGCCCCCUUCCUGCCCUUCAGCCUCCUCACCCUCCUGCAGGUGGUCCUGAAGGUCGUGUUGGCCAUUCGCCACUUGUUCUGGUUUUGAAGUUGGAAUCUUCAGCCACUGCCGAGAACAUCAACGAAAAUGUCCAUCAUAAUGAAGGUCUUUGACGAGAAUGUCAAGUCAGGGGGAGUGCGCGAUAGCCACGGUUCUCUCAGGCCCCAGGAGUCACACCCGGGGUUGGGUCCAGGCCCUCAGCAGGCAGUGCUUCGUGGCGGCGCAGCUGCUGUGGACGCGGGGGAGACUCCGGCGAACGCGGCCAAUAAAUGUUAUUUGUGAAGCUCCA
Mustela lutreola (European mink) is the source of this 1854-nucleotide RNA transcript. It is a transcript of the gene named chromosome 16 C16orf95 homolog, with no coding region annotated. The record is from RefSeq and is a predicted model, not a curated record. NCBI's taxonomy places the organism in Eukaryota, Metazoa, Chordata, Mammalia, Carnivora, Mustelidae. The transcript is spliced from 7 exons.